CAUAGCUAUGGAAUAAAGUUUCUUGAUGUCUAGUAAUAAGUUUGUCUAUGGGCUGUAUGAGUCACAGAUCAAAGAAGAUUGCUUGGUAGCAAUGAGGUGAAAGCGCAAAUUGAAAUAAACAGAAUUCAGCACAAAUUUGGAUUAAACUAAAAGCUUAACUCAGAAAGAGCAGGCCCUAGAACGCACAAGGAUCUGAAAUCUUCACACCAGAAGUGGCCACCAAUUUAUGUUCUGACCACUAAAUAAACAUUAACCUAUCAUUUAAAUAUUACUGGAAAAAAGACACAUUUUGCCAAAAUUUUCAUUUUACACUCCUCAAGACAAUUUACAAGAAAUACUGGACUACCCUAAACAGAUAAUUUCUCUUAUAUAUCAUGCAACCUCACAAAAGGGCCAAAGAAUUUUGGUCCUGAAAACUACUCAGUCCAUGUUACACUACCCUGGAACAGUAACAUAUCUCAAAGGUUUUAGCAAUUGGGAAGCUAGUUAUUCUGUGCCACUAUUAGGCCGUAGCAAUGUGAGUAUGGUCUGACAUUAACAGAAUGCUGCAAUCAAAGUGCUCUGUCUGUCACAGACACAAAAUAUGGUAUAUGAAUUUCAGUGCCAGUGUGAUGCCAGGCAUGUAGGCCGUAUGUCCAAAAGACAAGCAGAUUGUAUCAAACAGCAAGCCCCUUUGGCUGUUGGCAGUCCCAGGCAAGGUACUGACCAUACCUAACCAACCCUUGCUGUCAAAGCCCAAAAUACAGUGUCCAAUUUUAGUUAACAUUCUGAGAUUGGACAGCAUUUGCUAAAUAAACCUGAGUAUGUGAUUAUUACCCAACCAGUUUAGGAUUGUUAGUCGGGCUCAUAAUGUGGUGUAUUUGCAUAGACGGGAUUAACAAAUAUUACUAAACAGAGUCCUGUUACUUGCAGACAUUAAAGGAUAUGAUGCAUGGAAACAGAAUCACCUCCAGGUUUUUCUUCAAGUCAUACACCAUCCUGAGUAUUCUUGGGUCAAUAUUCCUAACAUCACUGAGGGCAUAUCUAUGCCCCAAAGAGUGCAGCUGCUCAGGAAGGAAGCUCAGCUCCACUUUCUCAAGGGCAAUUAAAAAUAGGGAAUAAAGGUUGGUCCAGCCAGCAACACCCAUGAACAAAUU
Chiloscyllium plagiosum (whitespotted bambooshark) is the source of this 1136-nucleotide non-coding RNA. The record is from RefSeq and is a predicted model, not a curated record. NCBI's taxonomy places the organism in Eukaryota, Metazoa, Chordata, Chondrichthyes, Orectolobiformes, Hemiscylliidae.